RNAcentral lists this long non-coding RNA (671 nucleotides) under Anser cygnoides (Swan goose). Its description in RNAcentral is "lncRNA (ENSACDG00005009238.1)". Lineage: Eukaryota; Metazoa; Chordata; Aves; Anseriformes; Anatidae. The record is from RNAcentral.
UCUUCACUUUUAAUUUGUCCAUAGUAAUCUGGAUGGUAAUUUUUUUAAAGAAAGAAAGAUAGGGAUGGUGAAGUCAAGCUUCUUGUCUAUUUUGUGUUUGACCCAGACUCUACAGGAUAGAGAAUUGUGACGUACUGGUAGAAAGCCCUGAGGGGAGGAAAAAGAAAUGGACAUUUACUCAAGUAAUAUAAGCUGCCACAGGAACUGGACAGAAAAUCACCAGUUAUAACUGCUGCAAAAGGAACCAAGGCACUUUUGUACUGCCAACCAAAUGUUGUAAGGAACUGAACCCAAUUCCUUCCUGUUGCUGCCUGCAUGGUAUGGCUGCCUGGAGAAAGGAGAGAUUGCAGAUGCUGGGCAACUGUUCAAAAAGACACUUAUAGAGGGAAGAGAGAUUCAUCAGCUAAGUAUCCAGCAGUAAUGUUCACAUAGUAAACCCCAUCAAAAUUGAGAGUGUAAGUGAAGUAUACAUUAUUGAUAAAGAUCAGUUUGAUCUUUAAGUUGUUUUUUUUUGAUCUUUGAUCUUAAGGUUUCUGGAGGGAGAAGAGACCAAUGCGAAGUGAUGCUGCUACCAACUUUUAGUUGCAAUGCUAUAGCCAUUUUCUGAUACUGUGCUCAUUCCUAUUAAAAAAAAAAAUAAAUCUCAGUUCCUUAAAAAUUAAGAAAGUGUC